This 1507-nucleotide ribosomal RNA is filed under the name uncultured prokaryote. RNAcentral's name for it is "partial 16S ribosomal RNA". It matches the Rfam family "Bacterial small subunit ribosomal RNA". The record is from RNAcentral.
AGAGUUUGAUCCUGGCUCAGAACGAACGCUGGCGGCAGGCUUAAUACAUGCAAGUCGAACGGUUAAAGCUCCUUCGGGAGUGUAUAAAGUGGCGAACGGGUGAGUAACAGGUGGAUAACCUGCCUCUUGGUAGAGGAUAACGGCUGGAAACGGCCGCUAAUACUGUAUGUGUGAUUUUCUGGCCCCCGGGCCAGAUCAGGAAAGGCGCUUCGGCGUCGCCAAGAGAUGGAUCCGCCCCCCAUUAGCUAGUUGGUAAGGUAACGGCUUACCAAGGCUUCGAUGGGUAGCCGAGCUGAGAGGUUGAUCGGCCACACUGGGACUGAGAUACGGCCCAGACACCUACGGGUGGCAGCAGUAGGGAAUAUUGCGCAAUGGGCGAAAGCCUGACGCAGCCAUGCCGCGUGAGUGAUGAAGGCCUUCGGGUCGUAAAGCUCUUUUCUGAGGGAAGAACAUCCGGUGCAGGAAAUGGCACCGGGACGGUACCUCAGGAAUAAGGAGCGGCUAACUCCGUGCCAGCAGCCGCGGUAAUACGGAGGCUCCAAGCGUUGUUCGGAAUUACUGGGCGUAAAGGGAGCGCAGGCGGAAUGAUUAGUCUGAAGUGGAAGUCCGGGGCUCAACCUCGGAAGUGCUUCGGAUACUGUCAUUCUUGAGAUCGUGAGAGGAAAGCGGAAUUCAGGGUGUAGCGGUGAAAUGCUUAGAUAUCCUGAGGAACACCAAUGGCGAAAGCAGCUUUCUGGCACUGAUCUGACGCUGAGGCUCGAAAGCGUGGGUAGCGAACGGGAUUAGAUACCCCGGUAGUCCACGCCGUAAACGUUGUGCACUAGGUGUGGGAGGUAUCGACCCCUUCCGUGCCGCAGCUAACGCAUUAAGUGCACCGCCUGGGGAGUACGAUCGCAAGAUUGAAACUCAAAGGAAUUGACGGGGGCCCGCACAAGCGGUGGAGCAUGUGGUUUAAUUCGAGGCAACGCGAAGAACCUUACCCAGGCUUGACAUCCCGUGACAUCCAUGGAAACAUGGCUUUCUCUUCGGAGACACGGUGACAGGUGUUGCAUGGCUGUCGUCAGCUCGUGUCGUGAGAUGUUGGGUUAAGUCCCGCAACGAGCGCAACCCUUGUCCUUAGUUACCAGCGGUUCGGCCGGGCACUCUAAGGAGACUGCCGGUGAUAAGCCGGAGGAAGGUGGGGACGACGUCAAGUCAUCAUGGCCCUUACGCCUGGGGCCACACACGUGCUACAAUGGCCGGUACAAUGAGCUGCAAAGCCGCGAGGUGGAGCGAAUCUCAAAAAGCCGGUCUCAGUUCGGAUAGGAGUCUGCAAUUCGACUCCUUGAAGUCGGAAUCGCUAGUAAUCGCGUAUCAGCUACGACGCGGUGAAUACGUUCCCGGGCCUUGUACACACCGCCCGUCACAUGACCCGAGUCGGGUGCACCCGAAGUCGCUGGUCCAACCCUCUGGGAGGAAGGCGCCGAAGGUGUAUUUGGUAAGGGGGAUGAAGUCGUAACAAGGUAGC